RNAcentral lists this ribosomal RNA (253 nucleotides) under uncultured bacterium. RNAcentral's name for it is "partial 16S ribosomal RNA". It matches the Rfam family "Bacterial small subunit ribosomal RNA", at positions 524 to 776 of the family's 1533-position model. The record is from RNAcentral.
UACGGGGGGAGCAGGCGUUGUUCGGAUUUACUGGGCGUAAAGGGCGCGUAGGCGGCGUGACAAGUCACUUGUGAAAUCUCCGGGCUUAACUCGGAACGGUCAAGUGAUACUGUCGUGCUAGAGUACAGAAGGGGCAACUGGAAUUCUCGGUGUAGCGGUGAAAUGCGUAGAUAUCGGAAGGAACACCAGUGGCGAAAGCGGCUUCCUGGUCCAGCACCGACGUUCAGGCACGAAAGCGUGGGGAGCAAACAGG